UCAUGAGCGACACAAGCCCUGUGUCAAAGGGCUUUAUUGGUUUUCCGUGUAAACCAAGGAAUAUCAGCCUCUUUUUCUCUCUCUUUUACUUUCUUAUCAUUGAGUCCAGACCACCAGGUUCUGGUCUAUUAAAGGACCUCAACAAGUGGUGCCCAAACAGGAGCCUGGUACACGUGACAGAUUCGGACAGAGUGACCUCAACGGCCUACUGGGGCCGUAUGAUUUAAGGAUCUGGUUAUAUUAUCCCAAAUUAACUGGAAUCAUCACUGUCCAGUGAAAUAUCUACAGCAAUUACCCAGCAAGUUUGAACUGGAGAGGGUAAGUGCAUUAGGGGCCCAGGGUUUGACAGGUGGCACUAGUGGUAAAGAAUCUGCCAAGAGACUCAGAUUCAAUCCCUGGGUUGGAAAGAUCUCCUGGAGGAGGAAAUGAC
Bubalus bubalis (water buffalo) is the source of this 430-nucleotide long non-coding RNA. RefSeq lists it as uncharacterized. The record is from RefSeq and is a predicted model, not a curated record. NCBI's taxonomy places the organism in Eukaryota, Metazoa, Chordata, Mammalia, Artiodactyla, Bovidae. The transcript has 3 exons.